CAGAGCCUAAGACCUUACUAAAUAUCUGUUGAAUGGCCGAAGGGACAGGAGAUGAAUCUAGAAGACACUCUGAACCAAGGAUGCUUGGCAUACAAUCUUAUGGGACAAUCUAGAGCACAAUUGAACAUCUGGACCCAGGUGCAAUAUAAAGAUGGAACCCCUGAACUAUCUUCAUUUACCAGCUAUAUGAGGUGAUCAGUGAAUUAACUGGUGAUUUUGAACUCUAAAGCUAAAUUGUCUUCCCUGGAACAAUGUCAGAAACCUCAAGAGAAGGAAUCAUAUCUAUGGAAAGAAUGCAGCUCUGGAAUUUAAAAAUUCCAAGAAGAGAGCUCACAAACAUAAAUAAAAAUAUGAACAAGUGGAAGAAAUCAAAUCCAUCAGUGCAUCAAAAUUAUGAAGCAAUUCAUUUGUUUAAUCUUACUAUGUAUGUAUUACUUGUCAGUAAGUACUGUGUACCAUGUAAAUAAUACAUAGUACUUACUAUAUACUAUGUAUUAUUUAUGCUGUUAGUAUGAUUGGAGUGGAACCUAACUGCUGAUUAGAAGACUCUGUGUGUGUGUGUGUGUGUGUGUGUGUGUGUGUGUGUGUGUGUGUGUUUGGAGAUAGGAUUGGGUGUCACAUUGAGUGGGGUAGUGAGCUGAAUAGUGCUCCUCCAAAUAUAUAUGUUAAGUCCUAACUCCCCAAUUACAUCAGAAUGUGACAAUAUUUGAAGACAGGACCUUUUAGGCAGUAAAGUACAAUGAACUUUAUGUAAGUUAAGUCCUAAUUCACUAUGACUGAUAUCCUUAUAAUAAGAGGAAACUAAACACAGAUACAUACAGAAAAAUGAUUAUGCAAACUCACAGAGAAGAUGGCCAUCACCAUCUACAAGCCAAGGAAAGAGGCUGUUUGGAGAGGUCAACCAAGGUAACUCCUUAAUCUCUAGGAUCUAGAAUGGUGACAAAAUAUAGUUCCAUUUAAGCCACCCAGUCUUGUGGUACCUUCUUAUGGCAACCCUAACAAAGUAUUACAAAUAGAUAUAAAAUCUCUUCACACAUAUGAGAAAGGAAUAAGGGAAGCUCAACCAGGGAGUAAGUCACUAGUUGGCAGCUUGGGAUUCUUCUCUCUCUCUCUCUCUGGCUCCCAAGAAUGUUAUCCCUUUUAAGAUACCUAACCAUGCCAGGCAUGACGGCACAAACCUGUAAUCACAGCAACUUGGGGUUGGGGGUGGUGUUGCUGAGGCAAGAGGAUCACAAGUUCAAGGUCAGCUUCAACAACUUAGCAAAAACCCUGCUCAAAAAUAAAAAAGUGAAUAGGACUAGAAAUAUAGUUCAGUGAUAGAGUGUCUAUUGGUUUAAUUCCCAGUACUAAAAAAAAAAAAAUAAAAUAAACAAAAUAAAGUAAAAUAAAGGAUGCUCAACCAUGCCUCACAGUACCUCCUGAAUAUCUGCCAUAUUUAUGUGGUGCUUUAUACUUCUUGCCUUCUACCCAUCAUGGUGCUUCAUGGGGAGUCAUACAUGAGACCAAUUGGUACAUUAUUCUUAUACUCCUCAGACUUCAUUCUCAGCCUAACACAAUUAAUAAAAUAAAUUUUUGUGUCUUUGUUUUACACAAAAAUGUUUAAAAUUAUCUGAAUGGGUUUUCAUCAGAUUUAGGUGUUAAAUUUCAAAUUGUCUGAGUUAAAUGUAACUAAAUAGUGAAUGCAACCUGAGGAGUAUGCAGACAGACAUCUUUCGAUACCGUGAGAGAGAUAAGUAUGAAUGUCAGGUGACACACCACAUGUAUUAAGUAUCCAGGCAUACAUACACACACAAACAGUGAUUUAAAACAUUAGAAAAAAUAUGAGGAAAAAAAUCAUUUGACACACAUUCUGAAUGAUAAACAUUGACUUUUCUAUCAAUCUGCCUUUUAUAUAUGCAAAGGAAUCUGCUAAAAGUGAAUGAAUUUCCUGAGAAAUGGAUGAGCAGAUUGUUAUACUGUAUCUUGCUUAUCAAUACUUUAUGUAGUAUCAUAAACAUUAUAUUUUAUUUACAUUUUUGCAAAUAUUAUAAAAGUCCUCAUUUUCUGUAUUCUUUAAUAACCUGAUCUAUCUGUGCCAUAAUUUCUUCCUCAGAAAUAUGUGACCCUCUAUAUCUUGGAGGAUAAGUGGACAGCAUGUUGUUUUAUACUGAGAUUGUGACCACAGCAAAAGAUUAUGUACAGGGCUGGGGAUGUGGCUCAAGCGGUAGUGCACUCCCCUGGCAUGCGUGCGGCCCGGGUUCGAUCCUCAGCACCACAUACCAACAAAGAUGUUGUUGUGUCUGCCGAGAACUAAAAAAAAUAAAUAAAUAUUAAAAAAAUU
RNAcentral lists this long non-coding RNA (2320 nucleotides) under Ictidomys tridecemlineatus (thirteen-lined ground squirrel). RNAcentral describes it as "lncRNA (ENSSTOG00000030744.1)". Lineage: Eukaryota; Metazoa; Chordata; Mammalia; Rodentia; Sciuridae. The record is from RNAcentral.